AAUGAACGCUGGCGGCGGGCCUAACACAUGCAAGUCGAACGAGGCAGCAAUGCCUAGUGGCGGACGGGUGAGUAACGCGUGGGAACGUGCCCCUUGGUACGGAAUAGCCCUGGGAAACUGGGAGUAAUACCGUAUGUGGUCGAGAGACGAAAGAUUUAUCGCCAAGGGAUCGGCCCGCGUUGGAUUAGGUAGUUGGUGGGGUAAUGGCCUACCAAGCCGACGAUCCAUAGCUGGUUUGAGAGGAUGAUCAGCCACACUGGGACUGAGACACGGCCCAGACUCCUACGGGAGGCAGCAGUGGGGAAUCUUAGACAAUGGGGGAAACCCUGAUCUAGCCAUGCCGCGUGAUCGAUGAAGGCCUUAGGGUUGUAAAGAUCUUUCAGAUGGGAAGAUAAUGACGGUACCACCAGAAGAAGCCCCGGCUAACUCCGUGCCAGCCGCCGCAGUAA
Molecule: ribosomal RNA, 449 nt
Filed under: uncultured bacterium
Lineage: Bacteria
Description: partial 16S ribosomal RNA
Rfam family: Bacterial small subunit ribosomal RNA
Source: RNAcentral